UACGAGUGCGUCGAGCGUUAUCCGGAAUCAUUGGGCGUAAAGCGUGCGUAGGCGGUUCUCCAAGUCCGUUGUGAAAGCCCCGGGCUCAACCUGGGAAUGGCAGUGGAAACUAGGGGACUGGAAUCUGGCAGAGGGGGGUGGAAUGCCGCGUGUAGCAGUGAAAUGCGUAGAGAUGCGGCGGAACACCGAUGGCGAAGGCAGCCCCCUGGGCUGAGAUUGACGCUCAGGCACGAAAGCGUGGGGAGCAAACAGG
This 253-nucleotide ribosomal RNA is filed under the name uncultured bacterium. RNAcentral's name for it is "partial 16S ribosomal RNA". It matches the Rfam family "Bacterial small subunit ribosomal RNA", at positions 524 to 776 of the family's 1533-position model. The record is from RNAcentral.